GCUCUAAUAUAAAAAUGAUUUGUAAUCAUUAUUAAGAUUAAUUCUAUAGAGUA
This 53-nucleotide transfer RNA is filed under the name Neomysis japonica. RNAcentral describes it as "tRNA-Thr". The record is from RNAcentral. Lineage: Eukaryota; Metazoa; Arthropoda; Malacostraca; Mysida; Mysidae.